Molecule: ribosomal RNA, 468 nt
Filed under: uncultured bacterium
Lineage: Bacteria
Description: partial 16S ribosomal RNA
Rfam family: Bacterial small subunit ribosomal RNA
Source: RNAcentral
GACGAACGCUGGCGGCGUGCUUAGCACAUGCAAGUCGAACGGAAAGGCCCUGCUUUUGUGGGGUGCUCGAGUGGCGAACGGGUGGGUAACACGUGAGUAACCUGCCCUCGACUUUGGGAUAACUUCAAGAAACUGGGGCUACUACCGGCUAGGAGCUCCUGCUGCAUGGUGGGGGUUGGAAAGUUUCGGCGGUUGGGGAUGGACUCGCGGCUUAGCAGCUUGUUGGUGGGGUAGUGGCUUACCAAGGCUUUGCCGGGUAGCCGGCCUGAGAGGGUGACCGGCGACAUGGGGACUGAGAUACGGCCCAGACUGCUACGGGAGGCAGCAGGGGGGAAUAUUGCGCAAUGGGCGGAAGCCUGAUGCAGCAACGCUGCGUGCGGGAUGUCGGCCUUCGGGUUGUAAACCGCUUUCGCCUGUGACGAAGCGUGAGUGACGGUAAUGGGUAAAGAAGCACCGGCUAACUACGUG